RNAcentral lists this ribosomal RNA (207 nucleotides) under uncultured Desemzia sp. RNAcentral describes it as "partial 16S ribosomal RNA". It matches the Rfam family "Bacterial small subunit ribosomal RNA", at positions 568 to 774 of the family's 1533-position model. Lineage: Bacteria; Bacillati; Bacillota; Bacilli; Lactobacillales; Carnobacteriaceae. The record is from RNAcentral.
AGCGCAGGCGGUUCUUUAAGUCUGAUGUGAAAGCCCCUGGCUCAACCAGGGAGGGUCAUUGGAAACUGGAGAACUUGAGUGCAGAAGAGGAAAGUGGAAUUCCAUGUGUAGCGGUGAAAUGCGUAGAUAUAUGGAGGAACACCAGUGGCGAAGGCGACUUUCUGGUCUGUAACUGACGCUGAGGCUCGAAAGCAUGGGGAGCAAACA